Molecule: long non-coding RNA, 225 nt
Filed under: Elaeis guineensis (African oil palm)
Lineage: Eukaryota; Viridiplantae; Streptophyta; Magnoliopsida; Arecales; Arecaceae
Description: long non-coding RNA (EGUI_LNC070915)
Source: RNAcentral
GUAAUGCUUGACUUUCUUUGUAGCUUUCUAAUACUCUAUUCCUGGAUUAUGUUGAUAAUGUCUAAGUAUUGAUACAGCAAAAGCAAUGUUUAGAUGUAUAUAGAUAUCGAUAUAUUUAAACUCUCAACAACAUAUACAUAGAUUAUGAAUCUUAUUUCCUCUUUCUUUAUCUUGAUUCUUGGAUAUUGAGGUUUAUUAAAUUUAUCAUCUUUUAUAAUAAGAGCA